CUGCGUCCGUGCCGUGGACGCGGCCGGUGCGGCGGUCCUCGCCGUGGCCGGCGCCAUGGCUGUGGCGGCGUUCGAAGCGCUGGUGCAGAC
RNAcentral lists this transfer RNA (90 nucleotides) under Streptomyces violaceolatus. Its description in RNAcentral is "tRNA-Arg". RNAcentral also lists the same sequence under 1 other name. Lineage: Bacteria; Bacillati; Actinomycetota; Actinomycetes; Kitasatosporales; Streptomycetaceae. The record is from RNAcentral.